Molecule: ribosomal RNA, 395 nt
Filed under: uncultured bacterium
Lineage: Bacteria
Description: bacterial SSU rRNA
Rfam family: Bacterial small subunit ribosomal RNA
Source: RNAcentral
AUUGAACGCUGGCGGAAUGCUUUACACAUGCAAGUCGAGCGGCAGCGCGGGGGCAACCCUGGCGGCGAGCGGCGAACGGGUGAGUAACAUAUCGGAACGUACCCAGUCGUGGGGGAUAACUAUCCGAAAGGAUAGCUAAUACCGCAUACGUCCUGAGGGAGAAAGCGGGGGAUCGCAAGACCUCGCGCGAUUGGAGCGGCCGAUAUCGGAUUAGCUAGUUGGUGGGGUAAAGGCUCACCAAGGCGACGAUCCGUAGCGGGUCUGAGAGGACGACCCGCCACACUGGAACUGAGACACAGUCCAGACUCCUACGGGAGGCAGCAGUGGGGAAUUUUGGACAAUGGGGGCAACCCUGAUCCAGCCAUUCCGCGUGAGUGAAGAAGGCCUUCGGUUGG